CCUACGGGAGGCAGCAGUGAGGAAUAUUGGACAAUGGGCGCAAGCCUGAUCCAGCCAUGCCGCGUGCAGGAUGACGGUCCUAUGGAUUGUAAACUGCUUUUGCACAGGAAGAAACAACGCUACGUGUAGCGUCUUGACGGUACUGUGAGAAUAAGGAUCGGCUAACUCCGUGCCAGCAGCCGCGGUAAUACGGAGGAUCCAAGCGUUAUCCGGAAUCAUUGGGUUUAAAGGGUCCGUAGGCGGUUUAGUAAGUCAGUGGUGAAAGCCCAUCGCUCAACGGUGGAACGGCCAUUGAUACUGCUAGACUUGAAUUAUUAGGAAGUAACUAGAAUAUGUAGUGUAGCGGUGAAAUGCUUAGAGAUUACAUGGAAUACCAAUUGCGAAGGCAGGUUACUACUAAUGGAUUGACGCUGAUGGACGAAAGCGUGGGUAGCGAACAGGAUUAGAUACCCUGGUAGUCCACGCCGUAAACGAUGGAUACUAGCUGUUGGGAGCGAUCUCAGUGGCUAAGCGAAAGUGAUAAGUAUCCCACCUGGGGAGUACGUUCGCAGAAUGAAACUCAAAGGAAUUGACGGNNGAGAGNGCGAGGACGACGACGAGGGAGGAGG
This 608-nucleotide ribosomal RNA is filed under the name uncultured bacterium. Its description in RNAcentral is "bacterial SSU rRNA". It matches the Rfam family "Bacterial small subunit ribosomal RNA", at positions 338 to 951 of the family's 1533-position model. The record is from RNAcentral.